UACGGGAGGGGGCAAGCGUUACUCGGAAUUAUUGGGCGUAAAGGGCUCGUAGGCGGUCUGUUGCGUCGGGAGUGAAAACUUACAGCUUAACUGUGAGCGUGCUUUCGAUACGGGCAGACUUGAGGCAUUCAGGGGAGAACGGAAUUCCUGGUGUAGCGGUGAAAUGCGCAGAUAUCAGGAGGAACACCGGUGGCGAAGGCGGGUCUCUGGGCCGAAAUUGACGCUGAGGAGCGAAAGCGUGGGGAGCAAACAGG
RNAcentral lists this ribosomal RNA (254 nucleotides) under uncultured bacterium. Its description in RNAcentral is "partial 16S ribosomal RNA". It matches the Rfam family "Bacterial small subunit ribosomal RNA", at positions 524 to 776 of the family's 1533-position model. The record is from RNAcentral.